Peromyscus leucopus (white-footed mouse) is the source of this 1413-nucleotide long non-coding RNA. RefSeq lists it as uncharacterized. The transcript is spliced from 5 exons. The record is from RefSeq and is a predicted model, not a curated record. Lineage: Eukaryota; Metazoa; Chordata; Mammalia; Rodentia; Cricetidae.
AUUCCCGAAGCUGGCCCUGGGAAUAAAGCUCUGAUAAUGGAAGAGAAGCAAGUACGGCCCUGUCUGGGAGGACCCGAAUGAAGACGCGAGAGUCCGAAGAGGGCCAUCCCCAGGAGGCAGCCCACGGGGAAAGCUCUGGUGGUGCACAGGAGUCGGCCGGGAGGGAGGUACACCUGCUCCAGAGGUGUUAGCGACUCUUGCAGAGGCCUCCUCCAUCCCACAAAGGGCCUCUGGCCUCGCUCCGGUCCCUUUCAAUGACUGCCAUGCAGGAAACAUCACUCCACCUCACCUUGGCCACAGAAUUCAUUUUCUUCAGGCAAGUGGAAAUUACUGGGGAGCCUUUGAGAGGAAAAUGAAGAGAAAGGACCUUCUGUGAGCCAGGCAUCACCAGCGUUCUGCAGACAAGAAAUGUGUCAGGAGUUCUGAAAAGAGCCGUGAAUUGACAGGAGUCUCGUCAACUUGAAGAUGUUGAUGGAGUUGCCCAUGGAAGAAGGUUACUCCACCCCAGCACGCUCUCUGUCUCUUCAAACCCAAGGCGAGCUCUCCAUGGCUUCGCGUGGUCAAGGCCCACCUGCCCCUGCUUCACUUGUGGGUGCUCAAGAAUCAGUUUGUUCCCAGAGCGAAUAUACAGCGACCGUGUCCACGGAAGACUGGCUAACACACAUCGUGGUCGCUGCAUUCAUUCCCCAAGGGGCCUCUUUCUUCUGUUGGGGGAAGAUCCUCCAGCUUCCAGAAACUCCGCACGCAUUUCUGCUCUCUCUCUUGAGUCACGCCCAUCUGCAGGAAAGAUCGCCCUUCCAGCUCCCCUCCAGGAGGAUGAGGGUGUGGCUCCGUGGCAGAGUGCUUGCCUGUCGAGUAUAAUGUUCCAUUCCUGGUGCAGGAAACAAAACCACCCCUUUCAGUGAGCAGCCAACCACAGCUGCACACCCGUACUCUCCAUUAAACCCGAAAUGUCCAGAGUGACCGCACACCCCGGGUAGCCUCCGCUUUCACUGGCCUUUGUCAAGUCCCCGGAGACCGUCCCACUGCCUGACCCAAGGGUCACGGUUUGGGCCUCAUCCUUUUCAUCCUCCUGGCCCCUGGCACAGUGUCGUGUCUCUGUGCCAACCUCCCGACACACUUCCACUCAGUCUCCUCAGCCCAGCCAGAGGCUGGAGGCAGCUCAGGUCUUCUCUACCUACAGCUGGCACUGGGGCCCUCUCAGCAGCACCCAGGACUGAAGUGCUCUCUCUGUGCUGUUGACCUUGUGCCAAAGGAACACCAGCCCAGACCGACCUCUCCAGCCCAAAGCAACUCACAGAACUAUCUAUGUGGCCCUCCCCAUUCAGUGUGUCGGGGAUGUCCAGACGUUUCUUUCUGAGCACUUGGGGAUUGAGGAAAUGUGUUCUUGGGUUUAUCAUGGAUGCUGCUGCC